UAUUUUAGUCUUGUUAGAGGAACCUGUUUUAUAAUCGAUAAACCACGAACAUCUUACUUAUUUUAAAUAAUUUGUAUACCGUCAUUAUUAGAUAACUUUCAAAAAAUUAGUUAUUAAAAUUAAUAAAAUUAAAUAUAUUAGAUCAAGGUGCAGUUAAUAAAAAAGAAAAAAUGGGUUACAAUAAAAUUUAUUUAAAACGAAUUAUAUAAAUGUAAAAAUAUAUGAAGGAGGAUUUAAUUGUAAUAUUUUUUAUAAUAAUAAUAUGAUAAUAGCUCUAAAAUAU
Molecule: ribosomal RNA, 283 nt
Filed under: Aegla parana
Lineage: Eukaryota; Metazoa; Arthropoda; Malacostraca; Decapoda; Aeglidae
Description: partial 12S small subunit ribosomal RNA
Source: RNAcentral